GAUGAAGAACGCAGCGAAAUGCGAUAAGUAAUGUGAAUUGCAGAAUUCAGUGAAACAUCGAAUCUUUGAACGCACAUUGCGCCCGCCAGUAUUCUGGCGGGCAUGCCUGUCUGAGCGUCAUUUCAACCCUCAUGCCCCUAGGGCGUGGUGUUGGGGAUCGGCCAAAGCCCGCGAGGGACGGCCGGCCCCUAAAUCUAGUGGCGGACCCGUCGUGGCCUCCUCUGCGAAGUAGUGAUAUUCCGCAUCGGAGAGCGAUGAGCCCCUGCCGUUAAACCCCCAACUUUCCAAGGUUGACCUCAGAUCAGGUAGGAAUACCCGCUGAACUUAAGCAUAUCAAUAAGCGGAGGA
This 348-nucleotide unclassified non-coding RNA is filed under the name soil metagenome. Its description in RNAcentral is "partial contains 5.8S ribosomal RNA, internal transcribed spacer 2, and large subunit ribosomal RNA". The stretch from base 1 to 120 matches the Rfam family "5.8S ribosomal RNA", at positions 35 to 154 of the family's 154-position model. The record is from RNAcentral.